GUGGGGAAUAUUGGACAAUGGGCGAAAGCCUGAUCCAGCCAUGCCGCGUGUGUGAAGAAGGUCUUCGGAUUGUAAAGCACUUUAAGUUGGGAGGAAGGGCAGUAAGUUAAUACCUUGCUGUUUUGACGUUACCGACAGAAUAAGCACCGGCUAACUUCGUGCCAGCAGCCGCGGUAAUUCGAAGGGUGCAAGCGUUAAUCGGAAUUACUGGGCGUAAAGCGCGCGUAGGUGGUUCAGCAAGUUGGAGGUGAAAUCCCCGGGCUCAACCUGGGAACUGCCUCCAAAACUACUGGGCUAGAGUACGGUAGAGGGUAGUGGAAUUUCCUGUGUAGCGGUGAAAUGCGUAGAUAUAGGAAGGAACACCAGUGGCGAAGGCGACUACCUGGACUGAUACUGACACUGAGGUGCGAAAGCGUGGGGAGCAAACAGGAUUAGAUACCCCGGUAGUCC
Molecule: ribosomal RNA, 450 nt
Filed under: uncultured bacterium
Lineage: Bacteria
Description: bacterial SSU rRNA
Rfam family: Bacterial small subunit ribosomal RNA
Source: RNAcentral